RNAcentral lists this long non-coding RNA (215 nucleotides) under Capsicum annuum. Its description in RNAcentral is "long non-coding RNA (CANN_LNC015596)". Lineage: Eukaryota; Viridiplantae; Streptophyta; Magnoliopsida; Solanales; Solanaceae. The record is from RNAcentral.
AAUUAAGUGAAAUAGGUCGAAAGAUAAAUUCAAAUGUUGAAAAUUAAUUUAUAUAUGCUGAAAAUAAUUUAUAUAUGCUGAAAAAUUAAUUUAAGAGUGCUGGAAAAUAAGAUUAAAACGUUGGAAUAUAGAUUUAACUGCUGAAAAUUGUUUUAAAAGAGCUCGAAAAUAUAUUCCAAUGCUGAAAAAUAAUUUAUAUGCUGGAAAAUAAUUUC